Molecule: long non-coding RNA, 2602 nt
Organism: Stegostoma tigrinum
Lineage: Eukaryota; Metazoa; Chordata; Chondrichthyes; Orectolobiformes; Stegostomatidae
Exons: 3
Source: RefSeq, a predicted model, not a curated record
UGGCCAUGCCAUCUGUUGAAUUCUGCUUUAGCUGUGGCUCAGUUGGGAGCAGACUUGUCUUUGAUCGUGAAGAGCCACUCCAGGGCUUGACCACUGAAAUCAAGGGUACUCAGGUACCAUGGGAGUAAUUCCAUGUUGGAGGUGUCACCUUUCAAAUCAAACUGAGGCCAAAUCUUCCUGAUCAGGUAUCGUUGGCUAGGCAGCAUUUAUUGCCUAUUCCCAAUUGCCCAGAGGGCUGUUUAGAGUCAACCACAUUGCUGUGGGCCAAGAGUCACAUGUCGGCCAGACCAGGUUGCUUUCUGCAAAGGCAAAGAAUCUGAUGUCCCACGAGCAGACAAAAGCCAAAAGCAAGUAGUCAUGACAAGAAAUCAAAUGUAUUCUUCUCCGAAGAACCAACAUAAUGCUCCAAAAGUGACUGCACACAAGUUGUCAAUGAAAUAAGUUUAUCAACAUGCUUUUCAUCUCUACCUCAUAAUUCAAUAUUUAACUGUGACAUUUUAUUCAUUUAUAAAAUACUUUUGUUGCAUCCUUCUAAAUCCUUUUGCCUAUGCCCACCUUGUUGUAAAUGUUGAGCUGAUGAUUUAAUUAACCUAUUCCUGGCUUUAUGUUCUGACUUCGGCCCCAAAACCCAUAGAACUUAGUUCUGGCUCUGAAAUAUGAUCUGAUUUUUAUAUUUACUUCUCAAAACAUAACACCUACGUAAGUGUGCAUUUGCCUUGAGGUAUUCUGUUUCUUUAUACUGGGCUUACUCUAGAAAAUUAAGCAUGCAUGAUGGUUCAAUAACAAAAAUAAAUCAUAUUCCAUGCGGAAAACGUUAAAUGCUGUUGUGAGCAAAGUGUUUCAAGUAGUGCUGUGCCAAAAGUUGCAACAUGAUUCCUCACGCAUCAAUUGGUCAGACUUAAAUAUUACAUAAAUGUUGUAUCAAUGCUUCUUCUUUACUUCUAUCAUAAUGCUCCUUUCCUUUCCCAAUUUCUUUUCUAAAGAAAAUAUAGAUCACACGUCUCUCCAAUUUAACUUCUGAAACAUAGCUGAGGAACAGAGAUGUAGUAGCCUUAGUGAAUCGUGAGGUUUAUUUUGGCACUGGAUUGUAAAUUUGCACACAGCUGUCAAAUUAUCUCAGAAUCUGUCAGAAUGGCAAGUGUAGUAAAGGACUAAGGCCCAUCUGUGAAGAUGGAAUAUUUCUCUGCUGAAUGAAUUGAGGCAAUUUUUAAACCAGCAUAGGGCAAAGAUUUAUUUUUGAUCCAACUAAGGUUGCCCUAGGGUCCCAAAAAAAAAGAACUAGGUUAUUCAUCUUCAUGGGCUACAAGACUGCAUUCAAAAAUAAAGAAGUAUGAUUCCAUAUAAACCCCUGAGAUUUUGAGCAGUUGUUCUUGGCCCACCAGAGCCAUAUUGUGGUAUUAAAUGCGAGAACAUCAAGUACCUUUCCACUUAGGCUUGCAUGCCUGCCUUUCUCUCAAGGCAUGAGUCAUUUCCAUGACUUUUUCAAAAACAGCAUGUAGCCGUACAAUGCUCCCUCUACUGACUCAAUGCAAGAAACUAAAGCUAUCCUUAUUUAUACUAGUUUGAAGCUGAUUUUUCCAGUGUUCUGAAAGGGCUUACAAAUCAAAUUAUAUUUGUGUGUAUAUCUGUAAAUCUUCCUCCCACAGAUAUUGCAUGCAUGUGUUGUCUGUUUGGCAGAAUUUUUUUUUGUUUGCAUUGCCACUCUCUAUAUUGUGCGUUAUGCUCAGAAUUGGAUAUUGACUAACAUGAAAGGGAAUGAAAUGGUUUCACUUGAUCACUGUCUGUCUUUAUUAAAGAUUCUGAAUUAUUAACCACCGAAGGCCUGCAGCAUAACCUGCUGCAUAUUCACUGAAUUGGAUAGUCACUAUGACUACCUUCUCACAUUUAUUGCAAUGUAAGGUGUGUGGCCUAGCUGUGUUUUUUAAUAUCAGCAAUUUUGGAUUUUUGAAUUAGUGGUAUAUGGGUUUUCUGUGUGUAUGAAGUGGUGUAAUGAUUAACUGUUAGGGAUUUCAGUAGCCAUGGCAAUUUCUUUAUAAAAAUCAAGCAAGAUAUAGUUCAGGAGGGCUAAUGAGAAUUUUAUUUUAUCUUGGGAGGCUUUUACAAUUAACCAAAGUAACAGUUCUGUACUAGGUUUUCCUUUUAGUAGGUUAGGAAUUGAAUAUUUUUCUUUCUGAUUAAGGCAGGAAACCCACCACUUGGGAAAAAAAGGCAUUUUAGUUUCAGUUUUGGGUAGUUUUCAGAAAUUUUGAUUGAAGCUGAACAUGUAAAACAAUUGGUCCUGAGAAAAGGAGGCAUUUUAGGGCUGCUAAGAAAUUGAUCAGCUCAACUAGAGGAGUUUAAUUUGAAAAUUCUAGACUAGGAAUGUUUGGCUAAAACACUGAGUAUUAUUUGAAGCUGAGAAAGAUUAAGCUCAGUGAUAUGACAAAUUAAGAAAGAGGCUAUCAGAUUCUCAUAGCUGGUGAACUGAAGCCUCAGCUAAGUCAUCCCUGUGUGUGAUUGAGAAGGGAAACUUUCUGUGGUAUUUAACGACAGUAAUAGAAUUCUGGUAGGAAUAAUGGAAUUGUAUUUUUGCUGUGUGUUUCAACAUCCUUAAAUGUGUAUU